UUUUAAAAUCAUCAAAUCAUAAAUCAGACACAGCGCACAAAAUAGACUGCAUCCUCUUAACAGAUUUUUUUUGUUUGGACAACGCCGCACUCACUCACUCACAGUCUCUCUGACCACUGUCUAAUACUACUCCCCACCGCCCCCUCAGAUUUCUCUGGUCACUUCCCCACCGCCCCGUCACAAUUCUCCCCCAUUCCCCAUCCUACCAUGGCCGUCAGCUCCCUCUCUCCAUCGCCGGCUCUUCAUGGUCAGGCCGCCACUCCCCUUCGUUCCCACUGCCGGCGCGAGGUCCGCAGCCCCUGCUCUUCCUCCUCUUCAUGUUGAAUCUGGUCGCGGAAGUGGCCGAGGAGGCCCUCGAGCUCGGCAUGCUCGCGCGAGCAAUCCAACAGUAGGCGCCGUCAGAGGCGGACGCGGAGGCACGGGACUCGCACGCCCCUGCUCUACCCUGCUCCCUCUUCGAAUCUGGUCGCCGAAGUGCUCGAGGAAGCGCUAGAGCUCGGCAUGCUCGCUGGCGAAGCCGGCCCCUUCUCUCCUCCUGAAUCCUGAUGCGAGGGAGGUCCCCCAUCGCCGAUGGAGGCGUACCAGAAAGUGCAGGAGUUCGACUUGUCCAGCGGCGCUGAUUGGAAGACGACCGCCAACGUCCUCUCCUCUUCACGGUGCCCCCAAGCGCAAGGAGUUCGGGUGAGCAUUAGGCAGUAAACUAAUUUCUAGGGGACAUGAGCCCGGACAGUUAUUGUUCGAGGACAGCUGAAGCGAAUAGCACAUCUCGUUGCAAAUUUAUCACCAUACACCAGUAUGAUUGAUAUAUGAUAUGGGAUGGGAUAGGAAUGCAC
RNAcentral lists this ribosomal RNA (833 nucleotides) under Triticum aestivum (bread wheat). RNAcentral describes it as "partial small subunit ribosomal RNA". Lineage: Eukaryota; Viridiplantae; Streptophyta; Magnoliopsida; Poales; Poaceae. The record is from RNAcentral.